UGCCGAGGUAGUCUAGCCCGGAAAGGCGGUAGCCUCGAAAGCUACUGGCGCUCGCCGCCUCGGGAGUUCAAAUCUCCCCCUCGGCGUC
RNAcentral lists this transfer RNA (88 nucleotides) under Methanoregulaceae archaeon PtaB.Bin056. RNAcentral's name for it is "tRNA-Ser". It matches the Rfam family "tRNA". From Rfam's summary of the family: Transfer RNA (tRNA) molecules are approximately 80 nucleotides in length. Their secondary structure includes four short double-helical elements and three loops (D, anti-codon, and T loops). Lineage: Archaea; Methanobacteriati; Methanobacteriota; Methanomicrobia; Methanomicrobiales; Methanoregulaceae. RNAcentral also lists the same sequence under 1 other name. The record is from RNAcentral.